AUCUCCCUGCGGUGCUCGUGAAGGCGCAUAAAUUCCUUUGAACCAAUAUGUUCGCUUUGGCACUAGCCUCUGAGGAUGUGGGUGCGUCGCGUCCCUUGUGGAUGCGCCCGAAACAUCCGGCCGGUCGCCUCCCUGAUGUCUAGGGUUCAAGCGGAUUUUGCCCGAACGACACUCGCGGGGGGACC
This 185-nucleotide non-coding RNA is filed under the name Crenobacter oryzisoli. Its description in RNAcentral is "6S RNA". It matches the Rfam family "6S / SsrS RNA". From Rfam's summary of the family: E. coli 6S RNA was the first non coding RNA to be sequenced, but its function was unknown until recently. It consists of 184 nucleotides that fold into an extended hairpin structure with a large single-stranded internal bulge. The 6S RNA specifically associates with RNA polymerase holoenzyme containing the sigma70 specificity factor. Lineage: Bacteria; Pseudomonadati; Pseudomonadota; Betaproteobacteria; Neisseriales; Neisseriaceae. The record is from RNAcentral.